Molecule: long non-coding RNA, 250 nt
Organism: Eptesicus fuscus (big brown bat)
Lineage: Eukaryota; Metazoa; Chordata; Mammalia; Chiroptera; Vespertilionidae
Exons: 3
Source: RefSeq, a predicted model, not a curated record
CGUAAGGCUCUGCUCCCCAUCGACCCCAAGCGCUGGGACUCAAAGCGGUUAGAAGAGUUGACCUACGCGGAGAGGACUCCGGAGCAGCGGUCGCCAACCGGUGGUCCGUGAGGUGUCUCUGCAAUUAAGAGUUUAUUUUCUAGGCGCCUUUCUGCCUCGUUGCAACUUCAAGAAAUUGCCUUAUGAAAAGAUAAUGGAACUGCCUGGCUGGCGUGGCUCAGUGGAUGAGCGUCAACCUAUGAACCAUGAG